Molecule: unclassified non-coding RNA, 326 nt
Filed under: soil metagenome
Description: partial contains 5.8S ribosomal RNA, internal transcribed spacer 2, and large subunit ribosomal RNA
Rfam family: 5.8S ribosomal RNA (bases 1-120)
Source: RNAcentral
GAUGAAGAACGCAGCGAAAUGCGAUACGUAAUGUGAAUUGCAGAAUUCAGUGAAUCAUCGAGUCUUUGAACGCACAUUGCGCCCCCUGGUAUUCCGGGGGGCAUGCCUGUUCGAGCGUCAUAUUAACCACUCCCGCUUGCGGGGUCUUGGGCUUCGCCUCCGGGCGGGCCUUAAAAUCAGUGGCGGUGCCGUCGGGCUCUACGCGUAGUAAAUUUUCUCGCGAUAGGGUCCCGGUGGAUGCUUGCCAACAACCCCCAACUUCUUAAGGUUGACCUCGGAUCAGGUAGGGAUACCCGCUGAACUUAAGCAUAUCAAUAAGCGGAGGA